UGGGCGUAAGAGCUCGUAGGCGGCUUGUCACGUCGGGUGUGAAAGCCCGUGGCUUAACCCCGGGUCUGCAUCCGAUACGGGCAGGCUAGAGUGUGGUAGGGGAGAUCGGAAUUCCUGGUGUAGCGGUGAAAUGCGCAGAUAUCAGGAGGAACACCGGUGGCGAAGGCGGAUCUCUGGGCCAUUACUGACGCUGAGGAGCGAAAGCGUGGGGAGCGAACAGGAUUAGAUACCCUGGUAGUCCACGCCGUAAACGUUGGGAACUAGGUGUUGGCGACAUUCCACGUCGUCGGUGCCGCAGCUAACGCAUUAAGUUCCCCGCCUGGGGAGUACGGCCGCAAGGCUAAAACUCAAAGGAAUUGACGGGGGCCCGCACAAGCAGCGGAGCAUGUGGCUUAAUUCGACGCAACGCGAAGAACCUUACCAAGGCUUGACAUAUACCGGAAAGCAUUAGAGAUAGUGCCCCCCUUGUGGUCGGUAUACAGGUGGUGCAUGGCUGUCGUCACCUCGUGU
This 510-nucleotide ribosomal RNA is filed under the name Streptomyces roseus. Its description in RNAcentral is "bacterial SSU rRNA". It matches the Rfam family "Bacterial small subunit ribosomal RNA", at positions 555 to 1065 of the family's 1533-position model. Lineage: Bacteria; Bacillati; Actinomycetota; Actinomycetes; Kitasatosporales; Streptomycetaceae. The record is from RNAcentral.